AUUGAACGCUGUCGGCAGGCCUAACACAUGCAAGUCGAGCGGCGCUUCGGACGGGUGGUUAAUGCCUAGUAAUCUGCCUGUUCGUGGGCGAUCACGUACUGAAACAUACGCUACUGCCUCAUACUAUCAAAUGGGUCUCGGUUGUAUUAGCUAGUUGGGGGGGUGAAGGCUUACCAAGGCGACGAUCCGUAACUGGUCUGAGAGGAUGAUCAGUCACACUGGAACUGAGACACGGUCCAGACUCCUAAGGGAGGCAGAAGUGGGGAAUAUUGGGCAAGGGGAGAAAGUAUGACCAAGCCAUGCCGCGUGGGUGAAGAAGGUCUUCGGAUGGUAAAGCACUUUAAGUUGGGAGGCGUUAUCAAAAGAAGAAGCACCGGCUAACUGCGUGCCAGCAGCAGCGGUAAUUC
This 407-nucleotide ribosomal RNA is filed under the name uncultured bacterium. RNAcentral describes it as "partial 16S ribosomal RNA". It matches the Rfam family "Bacterial small subunit ribosomal RNA", at positions 30 to 526 of the family's 1533-position model. The record is from RNAcentral.